CAGCCGCCGCGGUAAUACGUAGGGUGCAAGCGUUAUCCGGAAUUAUUGGGCGUAAAGAGCUCGUAGGCGGUUUGUCGCGUCUGCUGUGAAAACUGGAGGCUCAACCUCCAGCCUGCAGUGGGUACGGGCAGACUAGAGUGCGGUAGGGGAGAUUGGAAUUCCUGGUGUAGCGGUGGAAUGCGCAGAUAUCAGGAGGAACACCGAUGGCGAAGGCAGAUCUCUGGGCCGUAACUGACGCUGAGGAGCGAAAGCGUGGGGAGCGAACAGGAUUAGAUACCCCGGUAGUCCCUGUCUCUUAUAC
RNAcentral lists this ribosomal RNA (301 nucleotides) under uncultured bacterium. RNAcentral describes it as "partial 16S ribosomal RNA". It matches the Rfam family "Bacterial small subunit ribosomal RNA", at positions 509 to 807 of the family's 1533-position model. The record is from RNAcentral.